CAAGUUAUUAAGGGUGCAGGGCGGAUGCCUUGGCACUAGGAGCCGAUGAAGGACGUGAUAAGCUGCGAUAAGCUUCGGGGAGUUGCACGUAAACUUUGAUCCGAAGAUUUCCGAAUGAGGAAACUCACUUAGAGUAAUGUCUAAGUAUCAUUAAGUGAAUACAUAGCUUAAUGAGGGGAACUCAGGGAACUGAAACAUCUAAGUACCUGAAGGAAGAGAAAGAAAUUCGAUUCCGUAAGUAGCGGCGAGCGAACGCGGAUUAGCCCAAACCAAUAAAGUUUUCUUUAUUGGGGUUGCGGACAUAUCAUAACGAAGAGGUAUCGUAAUUGAAGAGGUUUGGAAAGACCCACCACAGAAGGUAAUAGUCCUGUAUGUUAAACGAGAAGACUUUAGAUAUGAUCCAGAGUACCACGGGACACGUGAAACCCUGUGGGAAGCAGGAGGGACCACCCUCCAAGGCUAAAUACUACCUAGUGACCGAUAGCGUAUAGUACCGUGAGGGAAAGGUGAAAAGAACCCCGGGAGGGGAGUGAAAUAGAACCUGAAACCCUGCACUUACAAGCUGUGGAAGCACAUUUCUUGUGUGACCGCGUACUUUUUGUAGAACGGGCCAACGAGUUACGUUAAGUAGCAAGGUUAAGCACUUAAGGUGUGGAGCCGUAGCGAAAGCGAGUUUUAACUGAGCGUUCAGUUACUUGACGUAGACCCGAAACCGGGCGACCUACCCAUGAGCAGGAUGAAGCGAAAGUAAAAAUUUCGUGGAGGUCCGAACCCACGAGCGUUGAAAAGCUCGGGGAUGACUUGUGGGUAGCGGUGAAAUUCCAAUCGAGCCCGGAGAUAGCUGGUUCUCCCCGAAAUAGCUUUAGGGCUAGCCUCAAGGUGAGAGAUACGGAGGUAGAGCACUGAAUGUCCUAGGGGGUAUUGCACCUACCGAAGACUAUCAAACUCCGAAUGCCGUCAUCUUAUACUUGGGAGUCAGACUGUGGGUGAUAAGAUUCAUAGUCGAAAGGGCAACAGCCCAGAUCGUCAGCUAAGGUCCCUAAAUGUAAGUUAAGUGGUAAAGGAUGUGGGAUUGCACAGACAACCAGGAUGUUGGCUUAGAAGCAGCCACUCAUUCAAAGAGUGCGUAAUAGCUCACUGGUCGAGUGAUCCUGCGCCGAAGAUUUCCGGGGCUAAAACUUACUACCGAAGCUACGGCAUCAGUAAUGAUGGGUAGGGGAGCUUCCCAUACGGGUUGAAGCAUGACCGUAAGGACAUGUGGACAGUAUGGGAGUGAGAAUGUUGGCAUGAGUAGCGAGAUGUGGGUGAGAAUCCCACAGGCCGUAAACCCAAGGUUUCCAGGGGAAGGUUCGUCCGCCCUGGGUUAGUCGGGACCUAAGCUGAGGCCGAAAGGCGUAGGUGAUGGACAACAGGUUGAUAUUCCUGUACUACCGAUAACCGUUUGAGAGAAGGGAUGACACAGUAGGAUAAGCUAAGCACACUGUUGGUUAUGUGUGCCCAAGCAUUGAGGCAGUCAAAGCAGGCAAAUCCGCUUUGAUAAUGCUGGGAUGUGAUGGGGAGCGAAAUUUAGUAGCGAAGUAGCUGAUUUCACACUGUCAAGAAAAGUCUCUAUCGAGGUUAAAGGUACCCGUACCGCAAACCGACACAGGUGGGUGAGGAGAGUAUCCUAAGGCCAGCGAGAGAACUGUUGUUAAGGAACUCGGCAAAAUGACCCCGUAACUUAGGGAUAAGGGGUGCCACCAUCAGGUGGCCGCAGAGAAUAGGCCCAAGCGACUGUUUACCAAAAACAUAGGUUUCUGCUAAGUCGCAAGACGAUGUAUAGGAGCUGACGCCUGCCCGGUGCUGGAAGGUUAAGGGGAUCUGUUAGAGCAAUCGAAGCAGUGAACUUAAGCCCCAGUAAACGGCGGCCGUAACUAUAACGGUCCUAAGGUAGCGAAAUUCCUUGUCGGGUAAGUUCCGACCCGCACGAAAGGCGUAACGAUUUGGGCACUGUCUCAACAACAGACUCGGUGAAAUUGUAAUUCCGGUGAAGAUGCCGGAUACCUGCGACAGGACGGAAAGACCCCAUGGAGCUUUACUGUAGCUUGACAUUGGGUCUUGGUACUACAUGUACAGGAUAGGUGGGAGGCUUUGAAACCAGGACGCCAGUUUUGGCGGAGCCAUCCUUGGGAUACCACCCUUGUAGUACUGGGACUCUAACCAUAGGCCAUGAAUCUGGUCUUGGGACACUGUCAGGUGGGCAGUUUGACUGGGGCGGUCGCCUCCCAAAAGGUAACGGAGGCGCUCAAAGGUUCUCUCAGUACGGUCGGAAAUCGUACGUAGAGUGUAAAGGCAAAAGAGAGCUUGAUUGCAAGACAUACAGGUCGAGCAAGGAUGAAAAUCGGACUUAGUGAUCCGGUGGUUCUGCGUGGAAGGGCCAUCGCUCAACGGAUAAAAGCUACCCUGGGGAUAACAGGCUUAUCUCCCCCAAGAGUCCACAUCGACGGGGAGGUUUGGCACCUCGAUGUCGGCUCAUCACAUCCUGGGGCUGUAGUAGGUCCCAAGGGUUGGGCUGUUCGCCCAUUAAAGUGGUACGCGAGCUGGGUUCAGAACGUCGUGAGACAGUUCGGUCCCUAUCCGUCGCAGGCGUAGGAAAUUUGAGAAGACCUGUCCUUAGUACGAGAGGACCGGGAUGGACGUACCUCUGGUGUACCAGUUGUUCUGCCAAGGGCAUGGCUGGGUAGCUAUGUACGGAAUGGAUAAGCGCUGAAAGCAUCUAAGCGCGAAGCCAACUUCAAGAUAAGAUUUCCCACCGCAAGGGUAAGACCCCAGAAAGACUAUCUGGUUGAUAGGUCGAAGGUGUAAGUGCAGCAAUGUAUUUAGCUUAUCGAUACUAAUAGGUCGAGGACUUGACCA
This 2895-nucleotide ribosomal RNA is filed under the name Clostridioides difficile DA00165. Its description in RNAcentral is "bacterial LSU rRNA". It matches the Rfam family "Bacterial large subunit ribosomal RNA". The record is from RNAcentral. Lineage: Bacteria; Bacillati; Bacillota; Clostridia; Peptostreptococcales; Peptostreptococcaceae.